Molecule: long non-coding RNA, 748 nt
Filed under: Rattus norvegicus (Norway rat)
Lineage: Eukaryota; Metazoa; Chordata; Mammalia; Rodentia; Muridae
Description: long non-coding RNA NONRATT027983
Source: RNAcentral
UCUACCUAGAUUAAAUGUGAUAAGGUCAAAAGUGCCCUUCCUGAUCGAAUGACCUUGCUACAGUACCCUAAUCUAUAAAAGGUUGGCACAGUUUCUGCCUGGGCCGUCUGGUUAUCACGAAGCUUAAGGAAAAUAUGCUUUGGUGAUGGCCAUGCCUGGCACAAUUGGAGCAGCUGAAAGGCCACUUUAGGUUGGUUGUUCCAGCAAGGUCACAGGGUCAGGCUCUCCCAUUUACUCUUACCUUAAUCUGCAUCUCUCUGAAGCGUAAUACGUAACUCGCUGGAGUGUCAAGAGCGUGUGAGAGAGAGAGGGGCAGCUUCAGUACAGAGCCCACAAGUGGGUAAAGGUGGCCACCAUCACUGACCCACUCCUCUUUAACGUCUCCCCCCGACAGGCUAUGAGCAGCAACAGGAGCAAGAGAAGCUGGAGCGGGAGAUGGCGCUGCUGCGUGGUGCCAUCGAGGACCAGAGGCGACGGGCUGAACUGCUGGAGCAGGCUCUGGGCAACGCGCAGAGCCGCGCCGCUCGAGCGGAGGAGGAGCUACGCAAGAAGCAGGCCUACGUGGAGAAGGUGGAGCGGCUGCAGCAGGCGCUGGGACAGUUGCAGGCUGCUUGUGAAAAGCGGGAGCAGCUGGAGCUGCGUCUGCGCACGCGCCUGGAGCAGGAACUCAAAGCCUUGCGCGCGCAGCAGAGGCAGACAGGCACCCUCACAGGUGGUGGCGGUAGCCACACUGGGUCCACGGAGCUCA